Molecule: non-coding RNA, 88 nt
Organism: Pangasianodon gigas (Mekong giant catfish)
Lineage: Eukaryota; Metazoa; Chordata; Actinopteri; Siluriformes; Pangasiidae
Source: the annotation of a GenBank genome assembly
AGUUUGUAAAUGCUGAUUCAACAUAAAGUCAUACCUUCUUCAUGAAUGAAAUGUACUAAGUGUACUACAUCUCAUCAUUUCUGAUUAU